Molecule: ribosomal RNA, 253 nt
Filed under: uncultured bacterium
Lineage: Bacteria
Description: partial 16S ribosomal RNA
Rfam family: Bacterial small subunit ribosomal RNA
Source: RNAcentral
UACGUAGGGGGCAAGCGUUGUCCGGAUUUAUUGGGCGUAAAGGAUGCGUAGGUGGAUAUUUAAGUGGGAUGUGAAAUACCCGAGCUCAACUUGGGUGCUGCAUUCCAAACUGGAUAUCUAGAGUGCAGGAGAGGUAAGUGGAAUUCCUAGUGUAGCGGUGAAAUGCGUAGAGAUUAGGAAGAACACCAGUGGCGAAGGCGACUUACUGGACUGUAACUGACACUGAGGCAUGAAAGCGUGGGGAGCAAACAGG